Molecule: long non-coding RNA, 338 nt
Filed under: Cucumis sativus (cucumber)
Lineage: Eukaryota; Viridiplantae; Streptophyta; Magnoliopsida; Cucurbitales; Cucurbitaceae
Description: long non-coding RNA (CSAT_LNC002195)
Source: RNAcentral
CUUCUUCCUCACCAAACCCUAGUCGCCGCCCACAACUUCUUCUCCAUCACUAUUGCUCUGGUUUGCUUCUCACUAUCGUCCGUCAUCAUUUCGACGAAGUCCCGUGAGUUCUCUCGCUUCCAUCAAACGUGUGUUUCGCAAGCCAAUCUUGUCGGUUAAUCUGACAUCCGUUUGAUUCAAUGUUUAUAAGCAAGUUACCUAAAUAUAUUAAUUAGUGCAAGAUUAAUUGAAUUACUUGUGCAACAUUAACUGAAUUACUUGUAUCUGCACGAAAAUUCGUUCUUAGUCAAUUCUUGGAAAGUAAUUACAUUCUUUUCUAGUGCAUAUAUUAAUUUCUG